Cotesia glomerata is the source of this 343-nucleotide long non-coding RNA. RefSeq lists it as uncharacterized. Lineage: Eukaryota; Metazoa; Arthropoda; Insecta; Hymenoptera; Braconidae. The transcript has 3 exons. The record is from RefSeq and is a predicted model, not a curated record.
UUAGAACUGACGAGUGCGAGAGCCUUCGACAGUCUGAGCACUGGUGAACAUCUUCAAGGGGUUUUUAUACGAUUCCCGCGACAUUGUGGUUCCAUAAGGGUAUUGAUUGUUACCGGUUACUACGUGUUAAGAUACAGAAGUCAGAAGUGAUAUAUGACCACUUAUAUUACGUGACUAAAGAAUCUGUUGGUUUCACUUGAUAAACGAUGGAGCCUGCUCUUAUUGACACUACUAUUAACUGUUAUCGUUCCAAUUAUCAAAGUGGAGAUUGAAUUAUAUUUUGUGGUUAAAUCGUAAUACAAUAAAUAAAAGGAAAGCAGCCCCCAGAUACGAAGUGCGUCGU